AUGAUCAAAGAUUGGCUGGGUCUCCAUGAUGUGCAUUCUAGUGAUUGGAGUGACGCCACCAAGAAGACACAAUCGCAAAGACCACUUGCUUCCUUGAUGCUUCUGAUCUCUUGGGAGUUGUGGAAUGAGAGGAAUGCGUGGAUCUUUCGUAAUACCGCUGUCCCGGUUGGAGUCAUUGUUGCUACGAUUAAAGAGGAGGCGUCACUUUGGAGCAUGGCGGGGGCGAGGCACUUGAGUAACAUAAUGCCGCGAGAGUGA
RNAcentral lists this ribosomal RNA (258 nucleotides) under Triticum aestivum (bread wheat). RNAcentral's name for it is "partial small subunit ribosomal RNA". Lineage: Eukaryota; Viridiplantae; Streptophyta; Magnoliopsida; Poales; Poaceae. The record is from RNAcentral.